This 462-nucleotide ribosomal RNA is filed under the name uncultured bacterium. RNAcentral's name for it is "partial 16S ribosomal RNA". It matches the Rfam family "Bacterial small subunit ribosomal RNA", at positions 29 to 523 of the family's 1533-position model. The record is from RNAcentral.
AAUGAACGUUGGCGGCAUGGAUUAGGCAUGCAAGUCGGGGGAAUCCCAGCAAUGGGGGAACCGGCGUAAGGGGCAGUAAGGCAUGGGUACCUACCUUAGGGUUCGGGAUAGCCAUCAGAGAUGGUGGGUAAUACCGGAUGACGUCGUGAGACCAAAGAUUUAUCGCCCUUAGAGGGGCCCAUGGGAUAUUAGCUAGUUGGUGGGGUAACGGCCCACCAAGGCGAAGAUGUCUAGCGGGUGUGAGAGCACGACCCGCGCCACUCGCACUGAGACACUGGCGAGACACCUACGGGUGGCUGCAGUCGAGGAUCUUCGGCAAUGAGCGCAAGCUUGACCGAGCGAUGCCGCGUGAGCGAUGAAGGCCUUCGGGUUGUAAAGCUCUUUAGUGGGGGAGAAAAGCCGCAAGGUGUGAUCUAUCCCAAAAAUAAGCACGGGCUAAGUUCGUGCCAGCCGCCGCGGUAA